GACGAACGCUGGCGGCGUGCCUAAUACAUGCAAGUAGAACGCAGUUGCGAACGGGUGAGUAACGCGUAGGUAACUGCCUCAUAGCGGGGGAUAACUAUUGGAAACGAUAGCUAAUACCGCAUACUGUGAGAUGGACCUGAGUUGUAUUAGCUAGUUGGUGAGGUAAAGGCUCACCAAGGCGACGAGACAUAGCCGACCUGAGAGGGUGAUCUUCCAUGAUGGGACGGGGACACGGCACAGACUCCUACGGGUGGCUGGAGGAGGGAGUCUUAGGCAUAUAAGGGAAGUCGAGCCUGGCAAUGGCGCGGUAAUGAGGAAGGGAUUCGCAUUGUAAAGCUCUGUUGUUAGAGAAGCGUUGAGUACCCAGAAAAGAACGGCUAACUACGUGCCAGCAGCCGCGGUAAUAC
This 407-nucleotide ribosomal RNA is filed under the name uncultured bacterium. RNAcentral's name for it is "partial 16S ribosomal RNA". It matches the Rfam family "Bacterial small subunit ribosomal RNA", at positions 28 to 526 of the family's 1533-position model. The record is from RNAcentral.